RNAcentral lists this long non-coding RNA (317 nucleotides) under Pan troglodytes (chimpanzee). RNAcentral's name for it is "long non-coding RNA NONPTRT000736". The record is from RNAcentral. Lineage: Eukaryota; Metazoa; Chordata; Mammalia; Primates; Hominidae.
UUUCCUAAUGCUAUCCCUCCCCCCUCCCCCCACCGCAUGACAGGCCCCAUUGUGUGAUGUUCCCCUUCCUGUAUCCAAGUGUUCUCAUUGUUCAAUUCCCACCUAUGAGUGAGAACAUGCGGUGUUUGGUUUUUUGUCCUUGCAAUAGUUUGCUGAGAAUGAUGGUUUCCAGCUUCAUCCAUGUCCCUACAAAGGACAUGAACUCAUCCUUUUUUAUGGCUGCAUAGUAUUCCGUGGUGUAUAUGUGCCACAUUUUCUUAAUCCAGUCUAUCAUUGAUGGACAUUUGGGUUGGUUCCAAGUCUUUGCUAUUGUGAAU